Molecule: ribosomal RNA, 328 nt
Filed under: uncultured eukaryote
Lineage: Eukaryota
Description: partial 18S ribosomal RNA
Rfam family: Eukaryotic small subunit ribosomal RNA
Source: RNAcentral
CCCUUAGAUGUUCUGGGCCGCACGCGCGCUACACUGAUACGUUCAACGAGUCCAAACCUUGAUUGAUAGGUCUGGGUAAUCUUUUGAAUACGUAUCGUGCUAGGGAUAGAUUAUUGCAAUUAUUAAUCUUGAACGAGGAAUUCCUAGUAAACGCAAGUCAUCAGCUUGCAUUGAUUACGUCCCUGCCCUUUGUACACACCGCCCGUCGCACCUACCGAUUGAAUGACUUGGUGAAAAAUUGGGACUGUGAUUGAAAUUGCUUCAUUGCGAAUUUAAUCAUGGAAACUUUCUUUAACCUAGGCAUUUAGAGGAAGGUGAAGUCGUAACA